GACGUAGGUGGCGAACGUUAUCCGGAAUUAUUGGGCGUAAAGGCUGCGUAGAUGGUGUAGUAAGUUAUCGGUGGUAAAUCGAGGCUCAACCUCGUGGAAGUCGGUAAUACUGCUAUGCUAGAGGAUAGGAGAGGUUAACGGAACUCCCUGUGGAGCGGUGAAAUGCGUAGAUAUAGGGAAGAACACCAAUAAGGCGAAGGCAGUUAACUAUUCUAUUCCUGACAUUGAGGCAUGAAAGCGUGGGGAGCAAAACGG
Molecule: ribosomal RNA, 255 nt
Filed under: uncultured bacterium
Lineage: Bacteria
Description: partial 16S ribosomal RNA
Rfam family: Bacterial small subunit ribosomal RNA
Source: RNAcentral